This 497-nucleotide ribosomal RNA is filed under the name uncultured bacterium. RNAcentral's name for it is "partial 16S ribosomal RNA". It matches the Rfam family "Bacterial small subunit ribosomal RNA", at positions 28 to 507 of the family's 1533-position model. The record is from RNAcentral.
GAUGAACGCUGGCGGCGUGCCUAAUACAUGCAAGUCGAGCGAACAGACGAGGAGCUUGCUCCUCUGACGUUAGCGGCGGACGGGUGAGUAACACGUGGGUAACCUACCUAUAAGCCUGGGAUAACUUCGGGAAACCGGAGCUAAUACCGGAUAAUAUAUUUAACCGCAUGGUUUAAUAGUGAAAGACGGUUUUGCUGUCACUUAUAGAUGUAUCCGGGCCGCAUUAGCUAGUUGGUAAGGUAACGGCUUACCAAGGCAACGAUGCGUAGCCGACCUGGGAGGGUGAUCGGCCACACUGGAACUGGGACACGGUCAAGACUCCUCCGGGGGGCAGCGUAAGGGAAUCUCCCGCAAUGGGCGAAAGCUGGACGGAGCAACGCCGCUGGAGUGAUGAAGGUCUUCGGAUCGUAAAACCUGUUUAUUAGGGAAGAACAAAUGUGUAAGUAACUAUGCACGUCUUGACGGUACCUAAUCAGAAAGCCACGGCUAACUACGUG